RNAcentral lists this long non-coding RNA (1072 nucleotides) under Oncorhynchus kisutch (coho salmon). RNAcentral describes it as "lncRNA (ENSOKIG00005034866.1)". Lineage: Eukaryota; Metazoa; Chordata; Actinopteri; Salmoniformes; Salmonidae. The record is from RNAcentral.
CCUAUGCCAAUUUUAGGGAUGUUAUGCUCGGCUUGUCAUGAACCCAGUGACCAAAGCCUUGAAGAAGUUCUGUGUGAAGCUCCAGAAUGUUUUAAAGGAUUUUUGGGUACGAGUGAGGGCCACAUGUCUUACAUAUUCCACCCGGAGGAUUCUACGGUAAAGAUAUUCACAGACCGUGGACCCAAACCCCUUUAUCCUGCAAAACCUGGGAGUUUUCCCCCGGCUCUGGGGAUGAGAGAAUGGCUAAACAUCAGGCUGGCUCUUUGUAAAAUUGAACAGGUCCUAAGUGUUACAAAUGUGCCAGGAUAUGCGUUGGAAGAACAGGUCUGCGGCCGCAGUGAUCUCAAGGCUCUAAGAAUUGCUUCAAUGGACUAUAGCCCUGACAACAAAGUGACAAUUUUAGCCUGUGACCUUUAUGAUAAGGCUAAUGCUACAAAGUCUGUCAAUUCUCCGGUAGCUUCCAGAGCCCGCAAACAUGUAAACUUUUUUAUUCCUGUGUUUAGUUUUAAAUGGGUGGAUUAUCCAAUUUUCAUAACACUUAUGAAUAAGCUGGACAUUCUCUUCCAAAAUGGGGAACAGUUAAAGCGCUGGGCGAGGCUUUCCUUGAGACAGAGUCAAGACCAAAAGGCCCGACGGCGGAUCUACCCCUGGAGUGAAAACUUACCAUGUGUUGAUGGACAUAGCAAGAGAGCCUUGCCUUUUGAGGGUGAACUCGACACGGACAAUGGCGGUUGGUUGCAUAAGCUCCCAGGAUCUGUAAGAAAGGCAUCGUAAAAUACCUUAAGAAUGUAACGAUAUAAAAUGUAUGUACUAAAUAUUUUGAAUGAAAUAAAUGGUUUUAAAAUCAGAAUCUCACCACGUUAUGAACUCUCGCGUUUGUUCACUCUUAGCGCAGUCUGUCCCUGAGAAAAAUCUUGCGGAAAAAGCCAUGUGCGCGCGCAUGUGCGUGAGGGAGUUUUCUGUAGAGGCUGUGUGUGUGUGUGUGUGUGUGUGUGUUUCAAAAAACAGAAAAAGGGGGGCGGGUUGUUUGUUAAAAAAAAUACCCAUGCAUGCCUGGUGGGUCAUUUGAAAC